UACGGAGGAUCCAAGCGUUAUCCGGAAUCAUUGGGUUUAAAGGGUCCGUAGGCGGUUUGUUAAGUCAGUGGUGAAAGCCCAUCGCUCAACGGUGGAACGGCCAUUGAUACUGUUAAACUUGAAUUAUUAGGAAGUAACUAGAAUAUGUAGUGUAGCGGUGAAAUGCUUAGAGAUUACAUGGAAUACCAAUUGCGAAGGCAGGUUACUACUAAUGGAUUGACGCUGAUGGACGAAAGCGUGGGUAGCGAACAGG
This 253-nucleotide ribosomal RNA is filed under the name uncultured bacterium. RNAcentral's name for it is "partial 16S ribosomal RNA". It matches the Rfam family "Bacterial small subunit ribosomal RNA", at positions 524 to 776 of the family's 1533-position model. The record is from RNAcentral.